GUUGUGCAGAUAGCAGAUCUAAAAGUCAACAGACGACCACCUCCGAUCACCCCCCUUCCAAUCUCUUACUGACAGUGCUGGAGGGAGGUUUGGUGGCAUGUGACCUGAAUAUUUUUCUUAUAAUUGUGACUGAAUUCUCAGUGUAAUGUACCCUGAAGCAGAGGAGCCCAUUCCUUUGCAGGUUGAAGGCCAUCCAGAAGGAACCGAAUUUUCAAGUGCAAGAGACAGAAAUCAAGAAA
Long non-coding RNA from Cryptotermes secundus, 239 nucleotides. RefSeq lists it as uncharacterized. The record is from RefSeq and is a predicted model, not a curated record. The transcript is spliced from 2 exons. Lineage: Eukaryota; Metazoa; Arthropoda; Insecta; Blattodea; Kalotermitidae.